AAGGAUGAGGAUCUUGAGCAAAAAUUCGAUUUGGUAAUUGCUCAGAAAGUUUGCGCGCUUCUUUAAGGGCUUCAAGACGAUGUAAAACACUCGAUGGAAGUCUAGUAGAAGAGUAAUCAUCAUUUGUACUAUUGCUUCUAUUACGCUCUUUCUUGGCAACCUCAGGUAAACUUAUGGCUGAUGUUUUAGCACUCGCACUCAACUGCGUUGGAGCUGUUUUUAGAAUCGAUUGUGUGGAAGCAGCAUCAUUAUUUGAGGGAUUUUGAUGUUGAUCAGUGAAUUCUGAAAUUUGGUCUUGAAUGGGGCUAGCGCCGUUAGUAUUGUGAGUACGUUCUUGAACGUCUGCACUAGCGACGGAGGAAUUGGUGAGUGAGCUUUGGGGUGAAUGGUACAAUGGUCCUGUAGCAGAAGAAGGUGGUUUUGAAACAGAAGGAGAAUUGAGGCCAGUAGCUAAAGAAACUGACCUACGAGGACGGGCUUGUCUAGGCGACGCAUCUAGAUGAAAUUUGUUUAAUUGAUUAAGUGAUGGAGGAUGAGUGCAUCCAUGAGCAACAUUUGAAUCAUACAAUGUUCCUUCUGAGUUCUCAUUUGUCUUUGACAAAGUCGAUUUGGGUGUGGACUGUUGAUGCCCGGCAGGAGAAUGUGAAUGGGGACUUGGCGUGACAAACGUCAGCAUGCCAGGUGAAACCGCAUGGCUAGUAUCUGAUGGGGCACUAAAUAAGUAAGAAUCAACCACAGAGGAGUCAUUUUCUUCCGAGUGACUAAGAUUAGCUGAAGCGGAUAAAGCAGCGGAAACAGUACUUUCACUUCGCGUUCUAAAGACUGAUUCGUUUCGCGACAAAUAUCCCUUUAUAUUGGCAAUAAACAACUGCAUAUCAGAAUCUUGCAAGUCAUUAUUAGCGAUAUGCGGAGGAGGAAACACAAUGUGAUUGUUUUCAAUUUUAAGAAUUUCAAGAUUCGGCAUAUGUGCAAUGUAGGUGGGAAGCUCAAAAAGACGAUUUUUAGAAAUUGAAAGAACUUUAAGGUUCAUUAAAGCUCCAAAGGAUUCUGGCAGUUGCUUGAUUUUAUUGCGAGAAAUGUCUAAAAUUUCAAGUGACUCAAGUCGACACAAAGAUUCGGGAAACUCUCUAAGGACAUUCGAUCUAAUAUUUAGGUACCGGAGACGAGUAAACUUUAGGAUUUCAGGACCAAUACUCUUUAUAAAGUUAUGGCCUAGCGCUAGUCUCGCUAUCCGACCCUGGAUUCUUUCCAAUUGUUCAUAAGGUAAUUCCCGCAAGUUUAGAUGAGAUAGAUCUAACGUAAGUGCAUUUUCAGGACCCGCAUCUUCUGCCUCUUUAAUAAUUCUUUCAAUUUCUGAGUUUUUUGUGGAGGACACCUCAUGAGCAGACAUAGCAUGAAAAGAUCGAUCACCUCAGACGUAAAUCCGAAGGUUUUGUUGAAAAAAAAAGGAACUCUAAGAAGUAAUAAUUACUAAAAAAAUGCAAUGAACAUAAAAUUGAUCCACAAUGGUAUGCUAUAAUGUACAAAAGUCAAUUCCCCAAAAU
Non-coding RNA from Schizosaccharomyces pombe (fission yeast), 1544 nucleotides. The record is from the annotation of a GenBank genome assembly. NCBI's taxonomy places the organism in Eukaryota, Fungi, Ascomycota, Schizosaccharomycetes, Schizosaccharomycetales, Schizosaccharomycetaceae.